CAGCGUUCUCGAAAGGGGCUCCCAAGGCUCCAUCACACCAGGUCCUACCUGCACCUGUCCUGGAAGCUCCUGUUCAGACCACACCUGUCUUCUUUGCACAUCGCAUCACAGGGCCGUGUCUUCCGCCCGUUCUUUGCACAUGCCGCCCCUGUGGCCUUCCUGAUCCUGCCCAUCCCUCGUGUCUGAGCUCAGGCACACCCCUUUCUCACUCACACCCUCUGUGACCUCCAGCCCGGGCCAGGUGUCUUGUCACGUGUCUCAGAGAGCCGUUCGUCUGUGCUAACACUCGGCGCGGCCUCUGGAUGGAUAUACGUCGAUCUGUCAUUACUUGAGUCUCCCUUGCUAGCCCGGGCCUUCAUGAGACUAGGAACUAUGUCUGUUUUUAACCAGUGUAUGCUCAGCCGCUUGCAAGGUGCCGGGCACGACGUGCCUGCUCUAUACAUGCCCGUUGAGUGAAUAGAGCCACCAAGUUGCCUCCAGAAAGGGCCUUUGAUGUCUGUGCCAACUCAUCAGAAUAAUGGCAGCUCUGGAAAAAAAGUACAUAUUUGAUGUCACAGAGAAGAAUCCUAACAGAAAAGAAUGCUCUGAACCUUCUAAGGCACAUAUACGAGGGAAACGGAGUCUAGCUUCUCAGCUUAAUGAUGAGUUUGAUGCUUUUUUCCCCGUAGGAUUGUGACGAAUGUAACAUGACCAGAUGCCACCACAUUCUACCAUGGCAAAAGUCAGGCCUGUCCCUGGGUGGAGCCCAGCGUGGAUUUCUGGCCACGUGUACACCUGGAAUUUCCUGAUCUGAUGUCACUAAAUAUUUUCAGUAAAGGCAACUAUUAUGUGACAAAAUAAAAAAAAACCCUUCAUUUUCAUACCUUUGUAAAACUUGAUGAUAAAACAGAUCAGAAAAAAUGA
This is a long non-coding RNA of Neofelis nebulosa (Clouded leopard), 903 nucleotides long. RefSeq lists it as uncharacterized. NCBI's taxonomy places the organism in Eukaryota, Metazoa, Chordata, Mammalia, Carnivora, Felidae. The record is from RefSeq and is a predicted model, not a curated record. The transcript is spliced from 2 exons.